Molecule: transfer RNA, 82 nt
Filed under: Lachnospiraceae bacterium
Lineage: Bacteria; Bacillati; Bacillota; Clostridia; Lachnospirales; Lachnospiraceae
Description: tRNA-Leu
Rfam family: tRNA
About the family: Transfer RNA (tRNA) molecules are approximately 80 nucleotides in length. Their secondary structure includes four short double-helical elements and three loops (D, anti-codon, and T loops).
Source: RNAcentral
GCGGAAUUGAUGGAAUUGGCAGACAUGCAAGAUUUAGGUUCUUGUGCCGAGAGGCGUGUGGGUUCAAGUCCCACAUUCCGCA